CCGAGUGUGGACCUCCACAGUCCAACCUCCCACCCGUGUCUACGAAAUACCCUGUUGCUUUGGCGGGCCCACCGGGAAGCCGGUCGCCGGAGGACGCACUGUCCUCGGGCCCGCGCCCGCCGGAGCGCUUGAAGAAACCCUAUGGAAACGGACUGUCUGAGUAUGAUUGAUAAUCAUCA
This 179-nucleotide unclassified non-coding RNA is filed under the name uncultured Eurotiales. RNAcentral describes it as "sequence contains ITS1". Lineage: Eukaryota; Fungi; Ascomycota; Eurotiomycetes; Eurotiales. The record is from RNAcentral.